RNAcentral lists this long non-coding RNA (213 nucleotides) under Vigna radiata. RNAcentral describes it as "long non-coding RNA (VRAD_LNC006478)". Lineage: Eukaryota; Viridiplantae; Streptophyta; Magnoliopsida; Fabales; Fabaceae. The record is from RNAcentral.
GGGGACCAACUUUGUUUUUUUUUUUUUUUCACAUGAGGACAUUCUUUGUUAUUAGGAAUGGUUGGUAAAGUGUGUUAGGAGUGUUGGAGACCAAUUUUUUACCAUUUUCUUCUUCCAGGAAAAUACAUUGCAGGAUGCCACAAGACCUCUAGACUUUGCCCAAAUCGGAUCACAAUCUUUCCAAUCUUACCAAGUUUCACAAGAGUCACAAAC